GGCCACAUCACGUUGAAACGCCGGCCCCGUACGAUAACUGAAGUUAAGCAACGUCGAACCUGGUCAGUACUUAAGUGGGGGACCGCUUAGGAAUACCGAGUGCUGUAAG
Acanthosepion pharaonis is the source of this 109-nucleotide non-coding RNA. NCBI's taxonomy places the organism in Eukaryota, Metazoa, Mollusca, Cephalopoda, Sepiida, Sepiidae. The record is from the annotation of a GenBank genome assembly.